RNAcentral lists this ribosomal RNA (465 nucleotides) under uncultured bacterium. Its description in RNAcentral is "bacterial SSU rRNA". It matches the Rfam family "Bacterial small subunit ribosomal RNA", at positions 917 to 1382 of the family's 1533-position model. The record is from RNAcentral.
GGGCCCGCACAAGCGGUGGAGCAUGUGGUUCAAUUCGACGCAACGCGAAGAACCUUACCUGGGCUCGAAAUGCAGUGGACCGGGGUGGAAACAUCCCUUUCCGCAAGGACUGCUGCAUAGGUGCUGCAUGGCUGUCGUCAGCUCGUGUCGUGAGAUGUUGGGUUAAGUCCCGCAACGAGCGCAACCCUUAUUGCCAGUUGCUAACACGUUAUGGUGAGCACUCUGGCGAAACCGCCCCGGAUAACGGGGAGGAAGGUGGGGAUGACGUCAAGUCCUCAUGGCCUUUAUGUCCAGGGCUACACACGUGCUACAAUGGCCGAUACAAACCGUCGCAAACCCGCGAGGGGGAGCUAAUCGGAAAAAGUUGGCCUCAGUUCGGAUUGUAGUCUGCAACUCGACUACAUGAAGCUGGAAUCGCUAGUAAUCGCGGAUCAGCACGCCGCGGUGAAUACGUUCCCGGGCCUU